GAUAAACGCUGGCGGCGUGCAUAACACAUUCAAGUCGAACGGGAAUCGGAUGAUUGAGACUUCGGUUGAUUGAAUUCGAGGAUAGUGGCGGACGGGUGAGUAACGCGUGAGCAACCUGCCUUCAUGAGGGGGAUAACAGUUGGAAACGACUGCUAAUACCGCAUAACGUGUGUAGAUGGCAUCUGAAACACAUCAAAGGAGCAAUCCGCAUGAAGAUGGGCUCGCGUCCGAUUAGGUAAGUUGGUGAGGUAACGGCUCACCAAGCCGACGAUCGGUAGCCGGACUGAGAGGUUGAACGGCCACAUUGGGACUGAGACACGGCCCAGACUCCUACGGGAGGCAGCAGUGGGGGAUAUUGCGCAAUGGGGGCAACCCUGACGCAGCAACGCCGCGUGAAGGAAGAAGGUUUCGGAUUGUAAACUUCUUUUAUUAGGGACGAAAUUUGACGGUACCUAAUGAAUAAGCUCCGGCUAACUACGUG
Molecule: ribosomal RNA, 481 nt
Filed under: uncultured bacterium
Lineage: Bacteria
Description: bacterial SSU rRNA
Rfam family: Bacterial small subunit ribosomal RNA
Source: RNAcentral